GUAGAGCAUUAACUUGGAUCCAAAUAAAUGAAAACUGAUUAUGACAACUAUGUCAGUUUUGUUUUCCUGUUGAAGAUGCAAAGAUAUGUAAGAACUGAUUUUGAACCUUCCCCAUAAAAACAGUAUACUGCAGUGGUUCCUGGAAUUAAUGACUAUCAUCUGGUUUUAGGUUUUAUGUUCUAAUCUGAUUCCUUAGUACUGGAUCCCAAACCAGGUGCUGCCUGCAUGCUUAGCAAAUAAACCAUUUUCCAGUCAUACCUAAUUGAUUUUCUACAAGCAUAUUAUUAAAAUUUGAAUUAAAGUAUAGCAAAAUUACUCACUGGAAUCAUAGCCUCUUGAGAAAAAAAGGUCAUCAUUAGGAAGUAUCCAGUCCCAUAUUUUGACAGAUGAGACCCACAAUAGUAUUGAGUGACCAGCAGCAACUGUUCACUGGACUGGGACUUUGCUGUUUUGGUUCCAAUGGUCCCUUAAAAUUAUUAAUGACAUAGGUAUAUUUAUGUGUAUGAAGCAGAGUACCAUGAUGGUAACUCCUUUGAAUUAAACUAAGUACCCAUUUAAGAAAGGUCUAGAUUCCGGUAUACUGUGCACCAUUUGCAAAACAGUUUUUCUGAACAACUCAACAGUGCUUCUAUUUUGGGAAUAAUAUAAACAAUCUAAGAACACAACCUCCUGUGAGUCAUUCUGUUAUCUACCAAAUCCUAUCCCUAGGGAAUCUCAUCUUUGACUGCCCCCCUUCCAUUUCCUCACAUGCAGACAUUGGACACCAGGCUUGAAAAGGAACUUCAGAGUCAUAUGACCUCAUCUAUUGCCAAAGUUCCUCUUGCAUUUAACCCCUCCUUUGAGUCAUCUCAUUGUCCCUGCCUAGUCCUGAGAACCUCACAGACUUCCUAAAGGGACAGCAAGUUUUACUUCUCCAAUUCGUCUUUCGCACUUUGCACAGAUGGAUGUGCCCAAAACACAAACAACAUAUUCCUCUCAAACCCUCUGAGUGCUUCCUUGCUUUAAGGAUCAUCACUGCCUCUCCCCCUGUGCCUUCUGCACACCCCACCUUCCCCCCAGAGCUGCCAUACUGCUUCCUUCCAGCCUCUGCAGUCAUUGCACCCAGCUACUCCCAGGCAGUCUAGAACACCACUCACCAUUCCCAUCUUAAAAUGUCAGACUGAGUUGGGAUUGUGGCUCAGCGGUAGAGCACUUGCCUAGCAUGGGCGGGACCUGGGUUCGAUUCUCAGCACCACAUAAAAAUAAAGGCAUUGUGUUGUGUCCAUCUACAAAAAAAAU
This 1278-nucleotide long non-coding RNA is filed under the name Marmota monax (woodchuck). The stretch from base 1167 to 1234 matches the Rfam family "tRNA". The record is from RNAcentral. Lineage: Eukaryota; Metazoa; Chordata; Mammalia; Rodentia; Sciuridae.